Molecule: ribosomal RNA, 1147 nt
Filed under: Klebsiella pneumoniae
Lineage: Bacteria; Pseudomonadati; Pseudomonadota; Gammaproteobacteria; Enterobacterales; Enterobacteriaceae
Description: partial 23S ribosomal RNA
Rfam family: Bacterial large subunit ribosomal RNA
Source: RNAcentral
GAUGAAGGACGUGCUAAUCUGCGAAAAGCGUCGGUAAGGUGAUAUGAACCGUUACAGCCGGCGAUGUCCGAAUGGGGAAACCCAGUGCAAUUCGUUGCACUAUCGUUAACUGAAUACAUAGGUUAACGAGGCGAACCGGGGGAACUGAAACAUCUAAGUACCCCGAGGAAAAGAAAUCAACCGAGAUUCCCCCAGUAGCGGCGAGCGAACGGGGAGCAGCCCAGAGUCUGAAUCAGCUUGUGUGUUAGUGGAACGGUCUGGAAAGUCCGACGGUACAGGGUGAUAGUCCCGUACACCAAAAUGCACAGGUUGUGAACUCGAAGAGUAGGGCGGGACACGUGGUAUCCUGUCUGAAUAUGGGGGGACCAUCCUCCAAGGCUAAAUACUCCUGACUGACCGAUAGUGAAUCAGUACCGUGAGGGAAAGGCGAAAAGAACCCCGGCGAGGGGAGUGAAAAAGAACCUGAAACCGUGUACGUACAAGCAGUGGGAGCACCUUCGGGUGUGACUGCGUACCUUUUGUAUAAUGGGUCAGCGACUUAUAUUCUGUAGCAAGGUUAACCGUAUAGGGGAGCCGCAGGGAAACCGAGUCUUAACUGGGCGUUAAGUUGCAGGGUAUAGACCCGAAACCCGGUGAUCUAGCCAUGGGCAGGUUGAAGGUUGGGUAACACUAACUGGAGGACCGAACCGACUAAUGUUGAAAAAUUAGCGGAUGACUUGUGGCUGGGGGUGAAAGGCCAAUCAAACCGGGAGAUAGCUGGUUCUCCCCGAAAGCUAUUUAGGUAGCGCCUCGUGAACUCAUCUUCGGGGGUAGAGCACUGUUUCGGCUAGGGGGUCAUCCCGACUUACCAACCCGAUGCAAACUACGAAUACCGAAGAAUGUUAUCACGGGAGACACACGGCGGGUGCUAACGUCCGUCGUGAAGAGGGAAACAACCCAGACCGCCAGCUAAGGUCCCAAAGUCAUGGUUAAGUGGGAAACGAUGUGGGAAGGCACAGACAGCCAGGAUGUUGGCUUAGAAGCAGCCAUCAUUUAAAGAAAGCGUAAUAGCUCACUGGUCGAGUCGGCCUGCGCGGAAGAUGUAACGGGGCUAAACCAUGCACCGAAGCUGCGGCAGCGACACUAUGUGUUGUUGGGUAGGGGAGCG